GGCGUUGGAACACAGGUUUCCGUACGAUCACCGAAGUUAAGCAACUUCGAGCAUGGACAGUACCUAGAUAGGUGACCGCUUGGGAUAC
Molecule: non-coding RNA, 88 nt
Organism: Acanthosepion pharaonis
Lineage: Eukaryota; Metazoa; Mollusca; Cephalopoda; Sepiida; Sepiidae
Source: the annotation of a GenBank genome assembly